AUACUUCUGACAGGGGAGACACCAUGAUCAGGAAAGUGGCUUUCCCAGGGCAAGGCUCACCCAUUGCAUGUGGAGAGUGCUGACCCCUACAUUUCCCCAAAUGAGGGGAGCUGAAACACACAGUCUGUGGUAGUGGAAGACUGUGUUCAUGCUCUCCCC
This is a small nuclear RNA of Psammomys obesus (fat sand rat), 159 nucleotides long. RefSeq annotates it as U1 spliceosomal RNA. Lineage: Eukaryota; Metazoa; Chordata; Mammalia; Rodentia; Muridae. The record is from RefSeq and is a predicted model, not a curated record. The transcript has a single exon.